GAGUAAUGUCUGGGAAACUGCCUGAUGGAGGGGGAUAACUACUGGAAACGGUAGCUAAUACCGCAUAACGUCGCAAGACCAAAGAGGGGGACCUUCGGGCCUCUUGCCAUCGGAUGUGCCCAGAUGGGACUAGCUAGUAGGUGGGGUAAAGGGCUCACCUAGGCGACGAUCCCUAGCUGGUCUGAGAGGAUGACCAGCCACACUGGAACUGAGACACGGUCCAGACUCCUACGGGAGGCAGCAUG
This 245-nucleotide ribosomal RNA is filed under the name uncultured bacterium. RNAcentral describes it as "partial 16S ribosomal RNA". It matches the Rfam family "Bacterial small subunit ribosomal RNA", at positions 108 to 353 of the family's 1533-position model. The record is from RNAcentral.